Molecule: transfer RNA, 71 nt
Filed under: Loxodonta africana (African savanna elephant)
Lineage: Eukaryota; Metazoa; Chordata; Mammalia; Proboscidea; Elephantidae
Rfam family: tRNA
About the family: Transfer RNA (tRNA) molecules are approximately 80 nucleotides in length. Their secondary structure includes four short double-helical elements and three loops (D, anti-codon, and T loops). Further hydrogen bonds mediate the characteristic L-shaped molecular structure. tRNAs have two regions of fundamental functional importance: the anti-codon, which is responsible for specific mRNA codon recognition, and the 3' end, to which the tRNAs corresponding amino acid is attached (by aminoacyl-tRNA synthetases). tRNAs cope with the degeneracy of the genetic code in two manners: having more than one tRNA (with a specific anti-codon) for a particular amino acid; and 'wobble' base-pairing, i.e. permitting non-standard base-pairing at the 3rd anti-codon position.
Source: Rfam by way of RNAcentral
GCAGUGGUGGUUCGGUGGUAGAAUUCUCACCUUCCAGGUGGAAGACCCCAGUUUGAGUCCUGGCCAAUGCA